This 622-nucleotide long non-coding RNA is filed under the name Coturnix japonica (Japanese quail). RNAcentral describes it as "lncRNA (ENSCJPG00005011765.1)". Lineage: Eukaryota; Metazoa; Chordata; Aves; Galliformes; Phasianidae. The record is from RNAcentral.
AUGCCGGAGGAGAGGGGGGGUGGAGUGGUGAGUGCCCGCGGAAGGGAGCGUGGGCGGCGCGGGGCACCGGGGGGCGCGGAGCCUCCGCCCCACCACAGGAGGCGGACAGGGAGGGAAGAAGGGUGCCCGGAGCGGAGCAGAGCGGUGAGUGCGGGCAGAGCGAGGGGUACGGGAAGCAGCGUUGCCUUCCCGCUGUGUCCUCGUACGCCCUCCCCGCGGGGAGCAUCAGCGCCCGGAGCUGCUCUACGAAACCGGGCCGGGGGACACGGUGACACAAGUCUGGCAGCGGAAAGGUUUCUUCUGAAUUCACUGUACAGAGGUUGCCCAUCCAAAAUCUGUGGAAUCAUGUCACUUGUACAUUCCAGUGGAGAAUGAAUGUUUUCUGGGCAGAAAGUUUACAGAUUGUGGCAGGUAUUAAUUGAGGAAAUGAGAGUUUGGUGCUGCUGAAAAGAGACAGGUGAACAGCAAACCCAGUGGACCUUCCCUGUACUUCAUAUUCUUCACCAUAUGUGGUAGGACUUCCUAAUUUGGCUUGAAAAGGACAAAUGAUUGCAUCUACUUCUGAUUUUCCAUUUCACUUCAACAUAAUAAAAAAGUGGAACAUAAGAAAACGUUAAAAAUA